GGGAGUGUAGCUCAGAGCUGGAGCACAUGCCUUACAUGCCUGACACCUUGGGUUCAAUUCCCAGCACCA
RNAcentral lists this transfer RNA (69 nucleotides) under Fukomys damarensis (Damara mole-rat). It matches the Rfam family "tRNA". From Rfam's summary of the family: Transfer RNA (tRNA) molecules are approximately 80 nucleotides in length. Their secondary structure includes four short double-helical elements and three loops (D, anti-codon, and T loops). The record is from Rfam by way of RNAcentral. Lineage: Eukaryota; Metazoa; Chordata; Mammalia; Rodentia; Bathyergidae.